GAUGAACGCUGGCGGCGUGCCUAAUACAUGCAAGUCGAGCGAACGGACGAGAAGCUUGCUUUUCUGAUGUUAGCGGCGGACGGGUGAGUAACACGUGGAUAACCUACCUAUAAGACUGGGAUAACUUCGGGAAACCGGAGCUAAUACCGGAUAAUAUUUUGAACCGCAUGGUUCAAAAGUGAAAGACGGUCUUGCUGUCACUUAUAGAUGGAUCCGCGCUGCAUUAGCUAGUUGGUAAGGUAACGGCUUACCAAGGCAACGAUGCAUAGCCGACCUGAGAGGGUGAUCGGCCACACUGGAACUGAGACACGGUCCAGACUCCUACGGGAGGCAGCAGUAGGGAAUCUUCCGCAAAGGGCGAAAGCCUGACGGAGCAACGCCGCGUGAGUGAUGAAGGUCUUCGGAUCGUAAAACUCUGUUAUUAGGAAAGAACAUAUGUGUAAGUAACUGUGCACAUCUUGACGGUACCUAAUCAGAAAGCCACGGCUAACUACGUG
This 497-nucleotide ribosomal RNA is filed under the name uncultured bacterium. RNAcentral describes it as "partial 16S ribosomal RNA". It matches the Rfam family "Bacterial small subunit ribosomal RNA", at positions 28 to 507 of the family's 1533-position model. The record is from RNAcentral.